AAGCAGGGGAUCGCAAGACCUUGCGCUUUUGGAGUGGCCGAUGCCUGAUUAGCUAGUUGGUGGGGUAAGGGCCUACCAAGGCAACGAUCAGUAGUUGGUCUGAGAGGACGACCAGCCACACUGGGACUGAGACACGGCCCAGACUCCUACGGGAGGCAGCAGUGGGGAAUUUUGGACAAUGGGCGAAAGCCUGAUCCAGCAAUGCCGCGUGAGUGAAGAAGGCCUUCGGGUUGUAAAGCUCUUUCAGUCGAGAAGAAAAGGUUGUGACUAAUAAUCACAACUUAUGACGGUACCGACAGAAGAAGCACCGGCUAACUACGUGCCAGCAGCCGCGGUAAUACGUAGGGUGCGAGCGUUAAUCGGAAUUACUGGGCGUAAAGGGUGCGCAGGCGGCUUUGUAAGUCAGAUGUGAAAUCCCCGGGCUUAACCUGGGAAUUGCGUUUGAAACUACAAAGCUUAGA
Molecule: ribosomal RNA, 461 nt
Filed under: uncultured ammonia-oxidizing beta proteobacterium
Lineage: Bacteria; Pseudomonadati; Pseudomonadota; Betaproteobacteria
Description: bacterial SSU rRNA
Rfam family: Bacterial small subunit ribosomal RNA
Source: RNAcentral